Molecule: long non-coding RNA, 756 nt
Organism: Homo sapiens (human)
Lineage: Eukaryota; Metazoa; Chordata; Mammalia; Primates; Hominidae
Gene: SEMA6A-AS1
Product: SEMA6A antisense RNA 1
Source: Ensembl
GGUCCUCCUCCCUUCAAUUGUGACAUCACAGUUGGUUGCUGUGGAAAUGAUUGUCCUGUGACAAAGGAUUGUGACUUAAGUAGAAGCAGCAAAUAUCUCUUAAGAAAUAAAGAUUCUGUGAUCCAACAAAUACCCUUGGUAAUAAAAGGCAGUCAAGGCAAUUCACCAUAAGGAAAGAGUGUACAAGACGUACAGAAACUGAUUCUUCACUGUAUGCCAUGGUUGGCUGACAGUAAGGUUAAAGUGGAGGUGGCUGAGGACUUCUCCCAUUAAAAGUUCAAGUUCUUCCUGAUGUUAACCACAAGAUGAUGCCGACAUCAACGAUUACUCUUUCAACGUAAAUAAAAACAAAGCAUAGAAUGGAAGAUUGUGUGUUUAUUUUAUGUCACAAAAGGAAGGCAAGCCUGGAAAUGCCAACCUCCCAUCAUAUUAAUUUUAAUGCCAGAUGCUCCAGCGUUCCCUGAUGUACAAAGCUGCUGGUUGAAGUGUGUUUUUAUGUUGUUAUAUGACCACAGGCACAAAACCCUGCAUGUCUGCGGCAGCCUUUUAUGAGCUCUUCCACAGACUCCCUGUGGGCCUUGGACUGCGGAGGUGGGCAUCGGCGUACACUCAGAAGACAAGACUCUGGGCAGCCGGCUUUGUGUCCAUAAUCCUGUGUGCGCCUAAGUAGUUCAUGAUGCAGGCCUAGCAGCUGUUGUAAUGUUUCAUCACAUUAAAAGCAAACUAUUUUUGCAAAUUAAAGCCUUCAGUAAGUUG